Molecule: ribosomal RNA, 273 nt
Filed under: uncultured bacterium
Lineage: Bacteria
Description: partial 16S ribosomal RNA
Rfam family: Bacterial small subunit ribosomal RNA
Source: RNAcentral
CCGCCGGCGACCGGCGCACGGGUGAGUAACACGUAUGCAACCUGGCCGUGACAGAUGGAUAACCGGGAGAAAUCCCGCCUAAUACAACAUAAUGCCGGGAGGGGACAUCCCCUGCCGGCCAAAGGGGACGACCCCGGUCACGGAUGGGCAUGCGGCGCAUUAGGUAGUUGGUGGGGCAACGGCCCACCAAGCCGACGAUGCGUAGGGGUUCUGAGAGGAAGGUCCCCCACAUUGGAACUGAGACACGGUCCAAACUCCUACGGGAGGCAGCAG